This 275-nucleotide unclassified non-coding RNA is filed under the name Hevea brasiliensis (rubber tree). Lineage: Eukaryota; Viridiplantae; Streptophyta; Magnoliopsida; Malpighiales; Euphorbiaceae. The record is from RNAcentral.
UUCUGGUACUGUCUGGGGUUCUGCAGCCUGAGAAACACUUGAUUAAGCAUGGAAAUUGGAAAUUAUUUCAUCAAUUCCUGUGUAUGACUGAUAUAACAAUUGAAGAAACUAGUCUCCUCAUCUAGUCAUAAUUGAGAUUUACACAAACGUUGGCUAUAACAUUUUCUGCAUCAGAUUACUCACUUAUCGGAAGACAAAAUAAUAAGAAGAAAGGAAACUUGAAUUAGCUAAUAUCCUGCAUUAUGCUACGUCAUGAGGAGCAUCUCACUACUUUU